Molecule: long non-coding RNA, 440 nt
Organism: Vanessa atalanta (red admiral)
Lineage: Eukaryota; Metazoa; Arthropoda; Insecta; Lepidoptera; Nymphalidae
Exons: 3
Source: RefSeq, a predicted model, not a curated record
AGCCUUAAAAAAUCCUCAAGUUCUUACAAAGCCGAACGGUGUAAUUUGCGUCAGUAUGCUAACAACUACGAUAAUUCUUACCCUAUUCGGUGUCUUGGGGUAUUGGUCUUUCGGUACUAUGGAAGAAAAUGUUUUAAGAUCGUUACCAUUCGAUGAUGAUUCAGCAAUGUUGGCGAUAGGAUUAUACUUAAUCGCAGUCGCUUUUGCCUAUCCCAUACAGUGUUACCCAGCGAUUCAGAUUAUAAUAGAAGUAAUCAAAAAUAGGAAUAUGCACUAUGUGCCUUCGGACAGCACGCUGAAGACAAUUGAAUGUGUCGCAAGACCAGCUUUUGUUUUGACUUCUUUUUUCGUCUGUUACUUGGUGCCGAUUCAAGGUGCAUUCGUUGCGUUCGUCGGAAACUUAUGUACUACUCUUAUCGCCCUGGUUUUCCCAGCUCUAA